Molecule: ribosomal RNA, 426 nt
Filed under: uncultured bacterium
Lineage: Bacteria
Description: bacterial SSU rRNA
Rfam family: Bacterial small subunit ribosomal RNA
Source: RNAcentral
GGGGAAUUUUGCGCAAUGGGCGAAAGCCUGACGCAGCAACGCCGCGUGAGUGAUGAAGGCCCUCGGGUCGUAAAGCUCUGUCAGGGGGAAAGAAGUGUAUUGUGGUUAAUACCCGCGAUACUUGACGGUACCCCCAAAGGAAGCACCGGCUAACUCCGUGCCAGCAGCCGCGGUAAUACGGAGGGUGCAAGCGUUGUUCGGAAUUAUUGGGCGUAAAGCGCGUGUAGGCGGUUUUAUAAGUCUGAUGUGAAAGCCCCGGGCUCAACCUGGGAAGUGCAUUGGAAACUGUAAGACUUGAAUACGGGAGAGGGUAGUGGAAUUCCUGGUGUAGGAGUGAAAUCCGUAGAUAUCAGGAGGAACACCGGUGGCGAAGGCGGCUGCCUGGACCGAUAUUGACGCUGAGACGCGAAAGCGUGGGUAGCAAAC